AGAGCCCAUACCCUCCAAUCACAGCCCACCACCUUCAGUGUCUGUCUCUCUCUCUCUCUCUCAGAUUUUAGCAAAAAGCUUAGAUUCAUUCCUUGGGGCUGGGUACCUCUUUGCUUUUGAGCUUCUUAUUAGCGUUGUGGUCUCUCUCAUUCCAUAGGAGCAGUGCCUAUAUAUUUUCUUUUUCUUUCUUCUCUUUUCUUUGUUGCUCAUACCUGAAGGAAAAGGAGGAAAGCAGAGAGAUCUUUUCCCAGCUUUUUCUUUUUUCGCUUCUCCAACUCCCUCAGAGAAUCACUGUCUAACCUGUUUUCCCAUCUGGGUUUUCCAUUUCCACUUUUUUUCUUUCAAAAAUUUUAGCUUCUCUCUAGUUUCUUUUUCUUUAUUUUCCUACUCCUGCUUGGAGAUAUCGAAGAACUUGAAGCUCUACAAAGAGAAGCUUUACUCAAGCUUUCAUCUUUUCAAAUUCUUGGCUUCUUCUAUCUCGGUUCCUGAGAAUUGUUUCUGGGUUUUACUGUCUUGCUAUAAGAAGUCUUCCCUGUUUGCUUCCCACGGAAGUUUAAGUGGGUAUAGAUCUCACUAGUGGUUCUAGGGUUCCAUCUUGGAAUGUUUUAAGAGUAUUUUUAGUUUUAUUAGAAAUGGUUUUUACUAAUUUUGUUUGAUUUUUAGAAAGUUGGGUCUUUUAUAGAUUCCUCAGGGGUAUGACUGCACCACGAAAAAAGCUAUUCUGAUUCCUUUUUAAUGCUUACUGAUUUAACACUGAUAUUUUUGUGGCGAAACCUCUACCUCUCUGCAUUUCCUAUCUGGGUUCUUUUUCUUUUUUUUUCCUCUGUUUCACCAAAUACAGCGCCUCUAGCCAAUUCUUCAUUUAAGAAUUUCAGAUUUGUUCCAAUUCUCUGGCAUGUUACAAUAGUUUUGCCUCUUAAUUGGACGCAAUGAAGUGGGAAAUGGAAGUUCUUUCACCUGCAUCGUAUCAUUCAAGCACAAAUUGGCUAAUAGAAGAGAGCAAGAGCACCAAAUGGACUCCAGCAGAGAACAAGAUUUUUGAGAAUGCUCUAGCAGUCUACGAUAAGGACACUCCUGAUAGAUGGCACAGGGUUGCUGCUAUGCUUCCUGGGAAAACCGUUGGGGAUGUCAUAAAGCAGUACAGGGAAUUAGAAGUUGAUGUUAGCAAUAUAGAGGCGGGGCUGAUUCCAAUUCCUGGAUAUAGAACCUCUCCCUUCACAUUGGAUUGGGCUAGCAGUAAUACCUAUGAUGGCUUCAAACAAUCUUAUGCUCUUGGUGGGAAGAGAUCUCCGUCAGGUCGGCCCGCUGAUCAGGAGAGAAAGAAAGGAGUUCCAUGGACGGAGGAGGAGCACAAGUAAGUUUUUCCUUGCAUAUUUAUGUCAGGUGCUCAUAUUCUAUGACUAUUUUUCAAAAACAAGUUUCCAUGUCCAAUUCCAGCAGUUUUUAGCUAAAUUUUAUGUAUUAGGAUGGGAAAAUAUCAAUUUGAGAGGAGAGAAAAAGAAAAAUGUUUAUCCUUUGAAAUCUUGGUUUCUGUUGAUUUUAAGGAUUGUGAAUAUGGUGAAAAGCUGUGGCAGUGCUGGUACCUUGUUUUAGGUAGAGAACGUAAUUUGUGUUAGAAUCUAAUCUGGAAGAGAACAUAAUUGUACUAAGAUUCUUUUAAUUAUUUUUUCUGUUGGAGAUUGUACUGUAAACAUGUUUUUGGCAGCCGCCAGAACUUCGUUUCAAAAAAUUCUAAUGAUUUUACAAUUGCAAAUUCCUUGUAAAAUUCUACUGCCUGCCACAAAUCAUAAAUAUUCAAUUUGUUGCAGGUUGUUCCUGAUGGGCUUGAAAAAGUAUGGCAAAGGAGACUGGAGAAAUAUAUCGCGGAAUUUUGUUGUAACUAGAACGCCAACUCAGGUGGCUAGUCAUGCACAGAAGUAUUUUAUCAGGCAGCUUUCAGGAGGGAAAGAUAAGAGAAGAGCUAGUAUUCAUGAUAUAACAACUGUCAACCUUAAUGACGUGAGAACUCCAUCGCCGGACAAUAAAAGAUCACCACCUUCACCUGAUCAAUCUACUGUGCUUUCGCAGCAGUCCAAUGCUGUUGCCAUGCCUAGAACACAUUUUCAAUGGAAUCAACCCAAUAGUGAAGCAACCAUGGCUUUCAGUGCAACAAAUGGGAAUAUGUUCAUGGCUUCUCCUUACGGAAUUAACUCAUAUGGGCUUAAAAUGCAAGCUCACAAUCUGCAUAGAGGUGCUGUUCAUGAAUCUUUUAUCGCACCUCAAAGUAUAGCUUUUCCGAUGCAAUCUGCACAGCACUACUCUUAUGGAUGAGAGUGCUAUGGCUUUGAUUUCUCCAAUGCCACCUCUUCUUGUAGUUUCAUUGGUAUAGCUGUGUCUGUGCUCUCCUUUUUCAUUUUAACCCUUUUUUCCUUUUUCUUUUUCGGGGAUCUUUUUGUAUAUGUCAUCAAGAAGUCAAGUUUAGUCCAUAGCUGGUACUUGAAACUUGAAGGAUAAAGGAUUCUGUUUUGCUUGGCAUUUCAAUCUCUUAAUUAUGAGACUGAGAGGGAAGAUUCUCCAAUCUGGGUAAUUCUUAUAUGUAGGAGUAGGAUCAUCCGUUCAAUGUAUAGAGUGGUGAGCACUAUCCAAAUGAGCAUGGGGAAUGUGUUCAAUCGAUAUAUUUGUUGUAAAAGGGUGCAGAAAAUGAUUCUGAAGUAAGACUCGACUUCACAGUUCCCUGCUUGCUUGCCUGCCUGCCCCAUGAUCUGAUACCUUAAGAAAGUUCCUCCGAGAUGAGAUAAUAAGAGUGCGGAAAGAGAUUUGUAUGCAUCAAUAAGCCAACCUAUGGAAUUCCAAGCCCACGCAAAGAAUAUGAAAUAAAGGGAUCUGCACGAACUAAGAUGUCCAAGCAUCUUCAAUUAUAAGUUAAAAGCUUAGCAUUUUUAUAGCUAUUUCUAUAGUUGAUGAUGCAUAGUAAGGUCAUGAAUUCUAUGUGCAUAUUGUUAGUAAUGUAUAAUCAGUUAAAAAUAAUCAAGAAACUACUCAAUUGUAUGUUUCCUUUUCUUUGU
Molecule: unclassified non-coding RNA, 3044 nt
Filed under: Hevea brasiliensis (rubber tree)
Lineage: Eukaryota; Viridiplantae; Streptophyta; Magnoliopsida; Malpighiales; Euphorbiaceae
Source: RNAcentral